CACUCCUUCCCAUUUCGAACAGGAAAGUUAAGGUCUAUAGCGCCGAUGGUACUGCAUGGGAGACUGUGUGGCAGAGUAGGACGUUGCGAGGU
RNAcentral lists this ribosomal RNA (92 nucleotides) under Clostridium beijerinckii. Lineage: Bacteria; Bacillati; Bacillota; Clostridia; Eubacteriales; Clostridiaceae. The record is from RNAcentral.